GACCAUUGUGUGGGUGCUGAGAACUGAACUCUGCCCCUAUACAAGGGCAAAAGGUGCUCUUAACCUCAAAGUCAUUUCUCAAUCCCAACUCCCCUUAAAAACUUAUGAGCACUAAUAAGAAUGUGGGUGAGAGGGAAACACAGCACUACACUGACUGUGGCCUUGAGCUACUCCCAAAGCACAAUGGUAGUUACCUAUCCAGACGGAUAUUAGUCCUACAACUCAAAACAGAACUUCUCAGACCUUUGAUCUCAGGAUCCCUUUAAACAAACAUUUGAAAUCAUAAGGACAUCUUAUAGUAUUGGGAAAUGUAGGACAGUCAUUGACUUAGAAAUAAAAAUUGAGAGACUGAGGCAGGAGAGAGAAAGCACAUCAGUUAAGAGCACUUGUUCUUGCAGAAGACCUGGGUUCAGUUCCCAGAACACAUAUGAGGGCUCUCAUCCACUGUUCUGACACCCUCAUCUAGCCUCUAGGAGCACUACACUCAUGAGGAGUACUACUUAACGUGCAAGCAAGACAUCCAUAGGCAGGCAUAAAAUUAAACCCCAAAGAUAUUUUGUUAAAAUAUUUUAUGAUCUAUAUUUUCAAAGACAGAACAGCAAGAGGAACAGCUCUGCGUUACGAUUUUGUAAAUCUCUUUAGUAUCUGGCUUAGGAGACAGCUGGAUUCUUUUUUUUUUUUUUUUUUUUUUUUUUUUUUUUAAGAGUUGAGGACCAAAUCCAGGGCCUUGCGCUUGCUAGGCAAGUGCUCUACCACUGAGCUAAAUCCCCAACCCCAACAGCUGGAUUCUUAUUUGCUUUUUCAUUUCUCUUUCAUGCUCUAUUGUUUUGGCAGAUGAAGAAUAACGAACGCUAUGGGAAAGGGGGUAUUUUUAGCUUUCUCCAGCAGCGGGGAUACCCUCUCCAUCUCUGUCUCUGAUUUCAUUUUGAGAUUAAAGUCUUGUUAUCCAGCUUGGGCUGGCCCAAGAUCAGGAUUACCUCAAAUGCAAAAUGCGCAGUGCUCCUACCUCAGCCUUGCAAGUGCUGGCUAUACAGGUGCACUAUCAUAUCAUGCCCAGCUGACAAGUGCUGAUUUCUUUGUAAAGACGUGUGUGUGUGUGUGUGUGUGUGUGUGUGUGUGUGUGUGUGUGUGUGUUUAUGUGUACUACUUGCUUAUACAGGUACCCAGGGGGGCCAGAAGAGGAUUGUUGAGGGGUUGGUUAUGUUGCUAUGUAUUGUAAUGCUAAAUUGUAUUCUGGAAGGUCUGGACUUACAAGGGACUUGUCGUGUUAAACAAGCUUUGUUGUGCAAACCUCGUUCUGUGAUUUCAAACUAUUGGUUAAAUAAAAUUGACUACAGCCGAUUACUGGAGGGAUUAGAAGUGGGUGGGGUUUGAGUUACCUGGUUGGGAGGGAGAAGAGAAAGGAGAGAGGAGAGACCAGGUAGAGGAAGAAGAGGGAAAGGGGAGGAGAAAGCCAGAAGGGGAGAUGUACCACGAACACAUAGCCAGGAAAAACAGCAAGUAUCUGGAGUACACCGCUAGGGAAGUAUCCAGGUCAACAGUUAAAAGACUAGAUUAGGGGUUACCCCCCAGUAAUUGUAAUAAAAUAGCCAUCCAUCGUCUGAGUCUCAUUAUUUGUAAACUAUUCGGGGAUAAGCUUAAAGUGGCUGUACUACAGAGGAUGUCAGAUUCCCGGCAACUUGAGUUACUCAUUCAAAUGCAAAUAUUGGGAACCAAACCCUGGUCCUGUAAGAGCAUCACACACUCUUUUAUUUUAUUUUUUCCUUCUUUUUUUCAGAGCUGGGGACCAAACCCAGGGCCUUGCGUUUGCUAGGCAAGCGCUCUACCACUAAGCUAAAUCCCAAAUCAGACACUCUUAAACACUGAGCUAUACUGCAAGCUCCCACCAAGUGUUGGUUCUUUAAAAGUUGGGUGCAAAACAGAAUCUGAAACUGUAUCCAAAACAUCUGCCCAAAAGUCAGAUGUGGUGGUAGGUCAUGCUCGCAAUCACAGCCCUUCUCCAGAAGCUGCACCACCAAGACUGCCUCACCUUUGAAGCCAGCAUGGGCUACACAGUGAGUUCUAGUGAAAGACCCCCUCCCAGAAAGGGAAUUGUACAAGCCCAAGGCCCUCAACUAAAGAAGUAAAAAAUAAGUUUUUAGAUAUGUGGGACAAGCUGACCCAUCAUUUAGACGAAACAGACCAGAAAAGAAAACAAAAUGCAGAAACUAGACUAAAAUAUGGGCAUUGCUCCAUGGGCCACCUGGCGGGGAAAAAGAAACAGUCCCUGACCCCCCGGGAAGCCCUGACCACCAUGUACUUUUUGCUAACUCAACUGUUAUGAUUAUAGCCAAAAUAGGUAACAUACACGUAUGCCUCAUUUACUCCACCAAUCACAUCCCUGUAACCAUGCAUCUGCUUCUGUAAGCCUGCUUCUGCUCCCCAAUGCCCUAUAAAAACCCGUCCCUGGUUCUGCUAGGCGCACCAGUCUUCCAAAUUGACUGGGACGCCCACAGGUACCUGUGCUCCCUGAUCAAUAAAAAAUCCUCUUGCAGAUUGCAGCCGGUGGACUCGGACUAGUCAUUGGGGCUUGAGGAUCUCCCUCCUGAGGGAAGAUUCUCUCUGAGAGUCUUACAUAUGGGGGCUCGUCCGGGAUCGGAGAUCCUCUGCCUAGAGACCACCGACCACCCACCGGGAGACUGUUACAGGUCUUCUUUACCACUGAGGAAAGACGGAAUCCUACUGGAGGCCAGAAAGAAUGUUCCAGACAUGGAUGGAAGACCCUCACUCCUGACUGUUGACUUGAAUACCCCUGAAGGUAGGGAGUGCUCCAGGUCUGCCACCAGGCUCCAAAGGUGGGUCUCCGAGGGGCUGGAAAAUGCCCCACCAAUCUGGCUAAGAUAAGGAAAAGAUAUAAAGAGAGAAAGUUACAGAAAUUUAAAGGGUUAAGCUAAGUUGCUGAGAGUUAGUGUAAGUUGCAGAGAAAGUAAAGUUGAAGUGUAGUUACAUAAGUGGACAGCAUCUAAUAGCUGUAGAGGAAGAUGCAGAAGAUAUGAGAGAGAGACUGAGGAAGAGAAAGAGGAAAGAAGGUAAAAAGAGCAGGAAGCUAAGGAAGAAAAGAGACAAAAGGAAAAAGAAGCUAGAGAGCUAAAGAGAGAUAAAAGACAGGAGAGGAAUAUAUACUGGCCACAGUAGUUAGGGAACCUAGGAAGACAGUACCUGGCAACAGAAGAGAAUUCCUAGCUAAAGAUCAGUGUGCCUAUCGCAAGGAAAAAGGACACUGGGUCAGGGACUGCCCCAGGAAGAACAAGAGGGGCCUCUCCAGCAGCCCGGAAGGCAAGUCUCUUGGUCCUAGAGUGCUGGCUAUCCGCAAAGAUAGAAGGGAAGCCUGCCCAGUUGUUUUGUGAAUACGGGGGCCCAACACUCUGUGCUCCUACGCCCAAAUGGGCUAGUGUCCAGCAAAAGACCUUGAGUACAGGGGACUACCGACAACAAAUGAUACUCAUGGACUACCCGAAGAACAGUGGACCUUGGCGUGGGCCGGGUAUCCCACUUGUUCCUUGUGAUUCCAGACUGCCCCUACGAGUCUAAACCCUGCAACCCUGCUCCCGGACCCUGACCUAGACACCCCCCUUCAUGACUGUCAGCAGGUGCUCACUAAAGCACAGGAGUGGCAUAAAGAUCGGACUGAUCAGCCAACAGAGGGGGUAGAUGCCAUCUGGUUCAUAGAUGGGAGCAGCUUCUUACAGAAGGAAAAAGAUGGGCUGGGGCAGCAGUGGUAGAUGGAAACAGAGUCAUAUGGGCUCAGGCCCUACCAGAAGCCACCACUACUCAGAGAGUAGAGCUCGCUACCCUCACCAAAGCCCUUGGGCUAAGAAAGAGACUUAACAUCUAUGUGGACAGCACGUAUGCCUUUGCUACAGCCCAUCAGCAGAGGGGCCUGCUGACAUCUGAGGGCAAGAAAAAAAGAGAUUCUGGCUAUGUUAAGGGCCCUCCAUGACCCAGCCAGGCCGAGGAAGAGACUCUGGUACACCUCAACGAGAAAGAAGAUCCUGCUACAAAAAUAGGCAGAGGCCAUGAUAAAACAAAUGCAUCAAUAGACUCACUUAGGGGUAAGCAAACUCAUCCAGACAUUUUCAAAAACUAAAUAUUAUGUCACAGGUCUCAAGUAUCUCGUGGAACAGAUAGUGCACUGAUGUAUACCAUGCCAAAAGGUAACUGUUUUCAGGAAAGUUGACUGUGGUAGGAGGCUCCGUGGGGAACGGCCUGGAUACUACUGAGAAGUGGACUUCACAGAGAUAAAACCAGGAAAAUAUGGUUAUAAAUGUCUCCUAGUGUUUAUAGAUAUCUUUUCAGGAAUAGGUAGAAGCUUUCCCCACCAAGCAAGAGACGGCCUCAAUAGUCAUCAAGAAGAUACUAGAAGAAAUCUUCCACAGGUCUGGAGUGCCCAAGGUAAUCUGGUCAGACAACAGCCCUACUUUCGUUGCCAAGGUAAGCCAGGGUGUGGCCAAGUAUUUAGAGGUUGAUUGAAAAUUACGUUGUAUUUACAGACCUCAAAGUUCAGGACAGGUAGAAUAAAUAAAUAAGACUCUAAAAGAGACCCUGACCAAAUUAACCAUGGAGACUGGCACAGACUGGGUGACACUCCUUCCCUCUUGCUCUCUUCAGAGCAAGAAAUAUUCCUUCCAGAUUCAGCUUUACCCCCUUUGAGAUCUUAUAUGGGGCCUCAGCUCCCCUGACUAUAUUAGAUGAUGUUACUGAACCAACAUGUCAUAGUAAUAAUGAUUUAUAUGCCAGGCUAAAAGACCUACAGGUGAUACAGAAAGAAAUCUGCUCACAGCUGACAGCAACCUAUGCCCCGGAGACCCCUGAGACAUGUCAUCAGUUCCAGGUCGGAGACUACAGCUACACUGAGCCCAGACACUCGCGCCUCGCUGGAAAGGACCGUACCUGGUGCUGCUGACCACCCUGACAGCCAUCAAGUCUCAGCCCUCACCAGCAGCGUACUAGCUGUUGGGGCUGAGAGCUGGGACCUAGAGGGACACUCAGAUCUUCAAAAAGCUCCCUAGUCUUAAGUGAUUGAGAGGUUGCUAUAAUGCUCACUUGAGGAGUAUGUUUUAGAAACAAGAAUUUCAUGUUUGCCUGUUUGCCCUGGGUUCCCUCGGAAUAGGUGUAAGGAUAGGCUUGAUUUUUAUUACAAAUGAUGUAACAUUACAUAUGUUAGUACUCCUAACACUUCUUGGGACUGUGCCUCAGGGAUCACAAUCUAUAUAAGUUUAGAAGUUCUAAAAGACCUUGGUAUAUAGGUUCAGAUAGUGUCCAGAUUAGAAUCCUGAUGCUAAAGACUUAUAAGACACAAAAGAGAGUUGAGAAUUAUUUAAGGCUAUCUAGGUGCUACAAGGGCAGCACAAGGACAUCUGCUGUUGCCCUAUAAUGCAAGGCUUAUAGAGAAUUCAGAACUGCCAUUGACUCAGAUAUGAAAAGAGUAAAAAAAAAGACUUUUUAGCUGACCUCCAAGAACACCUAACCUCCCUCUCAGAGGUAGUCCUUCAAAAUAGGAAAAGAUUAGACCUGAUAUUCCUUAAAGAAGGAGUCUGUGUGCUACACUAAAAGAAGAGUGUUGUUUCUAUGCAGAUCAGACAGGAAUAAUAAGAGAUAUAGUCUUUCAGUCAUUCAAACUUUUGUGCUGAGACAACAGUAUCAGAUGGUAAAACAACAAAAAACAGAGGUACCUUAACCAAGUUGAGUGGAAGAUUCCACUCAAGGACAAAAAGAAAAUGGGGGAAUGAAAGACCCCCUCCCAGAAAGGGAAUUGUACAAGCCCAAGGCCCUCAACUAUAGAAGUAAAAAAUAAGUUUUUAGAUAUGUGGGACAAGCUGACCCAUCAUUUAGACGAAACAGACCAGAAAAGAAAACAAAAUGCAGAAACUAGACUAAAAUAUGGGCAUUGCUCCAUGGGCCACCUGGCGGGGAAAAAGAAACAGUCCCUGACCCCCCGGGAAGCCCUGACCACCAUGUACUUUUUGCUAACUCAACUGUUAUGAUUAUAGCCAAAAUAGGUAACAUACACGUAUGCCUCAUUUACUCCACCAAUCACAUCCCUGUAACCAUGCAUCUGCUUCUGUAAGCCUGCUUCUGCUCCCCAAUGCCCUAUAAAAACCCGUCCCUGGUUCUGCUAGGCGCACCAGUCUUCCAAAUUGACUGGGACGCCCACAGGUACCUGUGCUCCCUGAUCAAUAAAAAAUCCUCUUGCAGAUUGCA
Molecule: long non-coding RNA, 6240 nt
Organism: Rattus norvegicus (Norway rat)
Lineage: Eukaryota; Metazoa; Chordata; Mammalia; Rodentia; Muridae
Source: RefSeq, a predicted model, not a curated record